This 390-nucleotide ribosomal RNA is filed under the name uncultured bacterium. RNAcentral's name for it is "bacterial SSU rRNA". It matches the Rfam family "Bacterial small subunit ribosomal RNA", at positions 100 to 524 of the family's 1533-position model. The record is from RNAcentral.
GACGGGUGAGUAACACGUGGGAACGUACCCUUAGGUUCGGAAUAACCCGUGGGAAACUAGGGCUAAUACCGGAUAUCUCGGUGACGAGAAAGGCUUGUCCGCCUGAGGAAUGGCCCGCGUCCGAUUAGCUAGUUGGUGUGGUAAUGGCGCACCAAGGCGACGAUCGGUAGCUGGUCUGAGAGGAUGACCAGCCACAUUGGGACUGAGACACGGCCCAAACUCCUACGGGAGGCAGCAGUGGGGAAUAUUGGACAAUGGGCGCGAGCCUGAUCCAGCCAUGCCGCGUGAGUGAUGACGGCCUUAGGGUUGUAAAGCUCUUUUACCUGGGAAGAUAAUGACGGUACCAGGAGAAUAAGCCCCGGCUAACUUCGUGCCAGCAGCCGCGGUAAU